UUAGCGACAACAAUAGCUAGCCAACUACUCCUACUCUACUACUGGUAGUAGUACACAACAGUAUUAUCGCAUAGUACUGAGCUGUUACUGAAUGGCCUAGCUUAGUUUUGGCUUGACGUACGCCUUUGAACAACCAAAGUCGUGAGCAAAAACAGAUUAGGAAUUUGGAAUAAGUUAUGUGUGUGUGCUUGAGAAAUCACCAUGGAAACGAACGAAUAUUCGGUGACGC
RNAcentral lists this small RNA (229 nucleotides) under Hordeum vulgare subsp. vulgare (domesticated barley). Lineage: Eukaryota; Viridiplantae; Streptophyta; Magnoliopsida; Poales; Poaceae. The record is from RNAcentral.